RNAcentral lists this long non-coding RNA (16883 nucleotides) under Carica papaya (papaya). Its description in RNAcentral is "long non-coding RNA (CPAP_LNC012027)". The record is from RNAcentral. Lineage: Eukaryota; Viridiplantae; Streptophyta; Magnoliopsida; Brassicales; Caricaceae.
AAAUUUGCUAAUUUUUAUGGUUUUACAGGUUCAAUCAUGGUCGACCAUGAAGCAAAAAAGUAAUGGUUGAAGAAGGUGAGCUAAUCAACUCGAUUGACAAUAACAGUUUAUGAUGUCCAGCUGAGUUUCCGGAAAACUGCAGAAUGGCAAGUUUAUAGUUGGUUCAACUAUAAUCAUUGAUUGCCCACCAGUCUGGAAAACCAAAUGGUUAUAAUAUCAUUGAAGUUAUAAGCCACCGUACAGAUACUUUGUGACUUAUUAAAGCUACUUGUAAAUACAUGUUGAACAUAAAGAAAUAUAUAAUCACACAAAAUAUUAAGAACCAAUCCAUAGUUCAGGUAUGUGAGCAAUCUUUUGCCAAUCUUCACCCUCCUCUCUUUGGCACCGUUUUUCUAAAAUAGGGCAAGACUGUAUUUCUAAAUAUGUAAGAGAGGUAGGUAGCCCCUUUUUAGGCAACCGAUGAAUCUCAGGGCAAAACCAUAUAGUUAAAGAUGUAAGAGAGGUGGGUAGCUCCUCUUCAGGCAACCGUUGAAUCUCAGGGCAAUACCGUAUAGUUAAAGAUUUAAGAGGUGUCGGUAGCCCCACUUCAGGCAACCGUUGAAUCUUUGGGCAAGAGCUGAUCUCCAAUUCUUGAAGAGAUGUGAGCUUCCCGAGCACCAAGCCAUCAAGGUUCUUCAUAUUUGGAAAUUUGGAUAUAUAGAGACGUUCUAGCCAGGGGGGCAGCAGUCCUUCAUCUGGAAAUGACUCCAGGUCCUCAAUUUCAGAACCGAUUGACAAGUACGUGAGAUGAGUGAGGCUUUGCAAACCCCACUUCAUUCGCUGCUCAAAAAGUUUGUCACACUGAUUUAUUGUCAUCCAAGUCAAACUGAAAGGAAGGCCUCCUUCUGGAAAUGAAUCAAUAUUCGGACAAUUCAAUAUGCACAAAUAGUCAAGAGACGGAAGAAGGCUGUGCAUUCUUUCAGGCAGUGACUUCAAUUUACAGCAGUUUUUAAGAGUAAGAGAUUUCAUGUUGGGAGCAGGCAAUUCCCCAGCAGGAAAAGAAUCAAAAUUGGGGCACUCUUCUAUUCUUAUUGUUGCUAGUGAUUUAAGUUCACGGAAACUGCUCUUCGAAAAUGUUAGGGAUUCAAGCUUCCUACAACUGAUAAGUUCAAGAUGCCUAAGGUUUGGAAACAAGUCAAAUGGAAAUGACUUUAAACUCCAACUUAUUACCAGAUACUUGAGGAAUUCGUAGCAGCAGCUGAUUGGGAGCUGAAACUUCUCAUCCUGGAAUCUUUGAAAUUUACACAUAGCUGGAGUGGUUUGAAGUGAAGCCACAAGCUCCCGACAACCUUCAAUUACAAGCUUUUUCAAUAAUGGAAGAUAGAAAGGAAAAUCACCUUUGAGGUUGUCGCAACGCAUUAUGUAAAGCUUCCGUAGACGAGGGAAAACACCACUACCACAUUCUCCAUCAGGAAAGAACCAAUCCUGCCACUGUUCCAUGUACAAAAACUCCAAAAUUUCGAGACAUUGAAAUGACUGAAUUCCGACAGAACAGUUUCCAUAAAACUCAGAGCCAACAGCAACCACACUCUUCAUUCGUCUGAUACGGAGUUCUUUGAGGGAAGGUAGUUGCCCAAGUGGUGGCAAGAUAACGCAAAAGUCACAGUCGCAGAGACAAAGAAAUACUAAAUUAGGUAAUGACUGAGCUCCCAGCCAAUCUGGAAAUCUCGUACCCCCAUACCGUGCAAGGACAAGUUCUUGCAGAUUUCUGUGAGGUUGAAGAUUGUCCAGAAUCUCUCUAGCAAUUUGUGAAUCGCUUGUACAACCACUCCAUUCCAGAGACAGCUUCUUAAUGUACUUCUUAUCUUUCAACUUGGCCACUGAUGCAUCCUGCACAUGANNNNNNNNNNNNNNNNNNNNNNNNNNNNNNNNNNNNNNNNNNNNNNNNNNNNNNNNNNNNNNNNNNNNNNNNNNNNNNNNNNNNNNNNNNNNNNNNNNNNNNNNNNNNNNNNNNNNNNNNNNNNNNNNNNNNNNNNNNNNNNNNNNNNNNNNNNNNNNNNNNNNNNNNNNNNNNNNNNNNNNNNNNNNNNNNNNNNNNNNNNNNNNNNNNNNNNNNNNNNNNNNNNNNNNNNNNNNNNNNNNNNNNNNNNNNNNNNNNNNNNNNNNNNNNNNNNNNNNNNNNNNNNNNNNNNNNNNNNNNNNNNNNNNNNNNNNNNNNNNNNNNNNNNNNNNNNNNNNNNNNNNNNNNNNNNNNNNNNNNNNNNNNNNNNNNNNNNNNNNNNNNNNNNNNNNNNNNNNNNNNNNNNNNNNNNNNNNNNNNNNNNNNNNNNNNNNNNNNNNNNNNNNNNNNNNNNNNNNNNNNNNNNNNNNNNNNNNNNNNNNNNNNNNNNNNNNNNNNNNNNNNNNNNNNNNNNNNNNNNNNNNNNNGAAUCAGGCAACUUUUUUAUGUGACAAUUGGACAGAGAGAGAACACGUAGGCACCGAAAUUUCUGCCACAAGUCAUUAGGUACCUUAAUAGAACUGCACUUAUAUAACAAUGAAGGAGACAGAAGGAGGGUGCGUAAGUACUUGGCUUCGUAAAAUGUCUCAAGUUUCUUUAACUUAUCAUUAUCAUGAUAUUCCCUGGAAAAAGACUUGUAUCUCGUCUUCCUGCCAACUUUAUGUGACGGUUCACUCUCAAAACUAUGACAGAAUUCCCCUGACACAGAUUUAGCCAAAUCAUGAAUAAGGUCAUGCAUAAUGAAUCGAGAUUUAUCUCGAGUUGAUUUUUGAAAAAAGGACCUCGAUGUCAGAUGAUUGAAGUACUCAUCCCCUAUAUCUUCCAUCUUCUUCUUUCCUUUAGGUCGAUGUAAAAGAUCUUCUGCCAUCCACAUUAAUAUUAAUUCCUCCUUCUUGAACUCGUAGCCCUUGGGGAAUAUAGCACAGUAAGCAAAACACUGCUUCAGAUUCGAUGAGAGAAAAAGAUAGCUCAGUCUAAGAGCUGGAAGAAUGUUGCUUAUAUCAUCUGGCAAAUCCCAGAUAUUGCUUUCAAAAAUCUCAUUCCAUUCCUCGAGACUUUGUUUGGAACGCAGUAGACCACCUAAUGUCUUCACAGCUAGAGGCAAGCCUUUGCACUUCUUGACUAUUUGCCUGCCAACUGCUUCAAGAUUCGGAUAUGCUUCUGAAUUUCUGUUGUCUAAGGCGUGUUUCACAAAUAACAGCCAUGAAUCACUUUCUGAUAAUUCUUCUAGAUGGCGAGUUGGAAUAGUUUGCAUCAUUGAUGCAACACCUUCAUUUCGUGUUGUCACGAUGAUCUUACUUCCUUGAGCUCCAGAUGAGAAAGGUUUCCUUAAGGAGUCCCAGUUAUCAUAAUUCUCAUUCCAAACAUCAUCGAGAACAAUAAGAAAUUUCUUCCCUUUCAAAGUCUCAUUCAGUUUAACUUGAAGCAGAUUAAGAUCCUUGAUAUCCACAAUCCCUGGAGAAAUUGUCUCGAGCACUGUUUUAGUAAUCCUAAAUAUAUCAAAUUCUUGUGAAACACAUACCCAGAAUUUGAUUUCAAAACAAUUAUUCACUCUACAAUCAUUGUAUGCCAGCUGAGCCAGGGUGGUCUUGCCAACACCACCCAUGCCCACGAUAGCAACCACACCUAUAUUCCUGUCACUUGCAUCAUCAGAGAGCAGCAAGUUAAUCAUUGCCUCCUUCUCCUCAUCUCUACCAAACACAUAAUAAUCAUCAACCAGAGAAGUCGUUGGAAAACUUGUAAUGAGGUUUCGACCAACACCUUCUCUCAAACUGAGUACAUCCUUCUGGUUAGCCAUAUAUUCUAGCGUGUCAAGUGUCUCUGCCAAACGCGAUUCUAUCUCCUUGUCAACUGAACUAGGAAUAGAUGGAAGGAAAGUCCAUACCUGGUUUGAAUCUGCUUCGUCUCGAGCUUCCAACAAGCACCGUGAAGCUUCAAAGGCGAUUUCAUCCAGGAGGUCCUCUGCAAUGUAGACUGCAUCUUUAAGUUCAUCAAGCCAUUCUUUGACUGCUGGAUCUGUUAUCUGCUUCUCUUCAGCAUCAUUGAGCACGGGAUAAAUGGAAAGCAGAGUGAGCUUCAACUUCUUGAGCAAAUUGGUGUUGAGUUUUCUGCAGCGAACGAAAUCUAAAACCUCAGGGGAAGCCAUCCGAUCAAACAGAACCUGGAGAAAAGCUGAGAGGAAAGCUCCACCAACCAUGGAUGCAGCCAUUGUUGUGAUGAAGAAAAGUACUGAGAAGAUAGAAGUAUUCAAACAAUUGAAGCUGGAAAGUAUUAAUAUAAUAAUAAUGCAAGCAGGGAUGAAGGUGGGCGGCCUCACGUUGAGUAGCAAAUGGGAGAUGUUAAUGGAUUAUAUAAAUCCUGUCCGCGUCAAACAAAAUUAUAAAAAAAAUAAUUAAUUUAAUAUAUACCUAAUAUAUGCAUAAAAAUUAAUUCAAUUAUUUUUUGUUUAAUGUAAUUCAAUGUCUAGAACAGAUGGUUAAUAAGAUUAUAAAAGCUAAUGCAUAACUAGGUUCCAUUUGAUACCUGUAAACAUAAUUUUAAUUUAAUUCUUUAAAUUCACAUACAGUACAUGAAAACAUAUAUAUUUAUGCAUGAAAACAUAAACAACGUAGUUUUUUUGGAAAUCACUAAGAACAAAUUUUUGUUCUCUUCAAACUCUGAAUUCAUUUCAACUAUGAUUCUCAUUCUUAUUCCGGUAAGUGUUUUAUGAAGAAACACAGAGAAAGUGACCUACCCAUCUCCUCGCCAGUGUGAAAAUUAAACACAUGGAUGGACCCAACAUAUCUUCUCCCCCAGUAAUGAACCUAUUCCCAAGCUUUGGUUCUAAUGAAGCUGAUUCCCAACAUUGCAGGGCAUAUUGUAGCUCUUCACCAAAACUCACUGAUUUGCAUCCCAAAACUUAAAAGUAGAUCCAUCAGCAGUGGUUAUAUAGCGUCCAUCCUGUCUCACUUCGGCGCUAGUUACAAGUGACUGGGUCUCUAGUGUUUGAACAAUUUUGCCACUUCUUACAUCCCAUAACCUACAAGAACACCAGCAAACAAGAAAAUAAAAGGAACACAUAAUGCAAAAGUUAUGGAGGAUAAUAAAGUUAAUAACACAGCAAGUUGAGUAUUAAAAACAAACUGAAGUAGACUACAUCUAGGUUUAUAUAGUAACAACUAAGUUUUACUCUACUGCUGGAAGGGAUGCAAAGAAGUUAAUAUCUUGUGAAUAUUUGAAAUAGAGAAACCAACAUAAAGAUCCAAUCCAACAAACAGUAGAGAGAAAAGCAGCUGGCAAAAUAUAGAAAAUCAGAUCACAUACGCACAGACUUUUAGUCAUAUUUUGUACCUUACACUGCCAAUAUCAGUACAGGAACUUAAUAUUGUCUGAUCAUUGUGAAGCCAGUCAGCAGUUCUGACUACACCAGGAGACUUGUCAACUUCUCGGGGAGGUGCAUCUGGACGAUUUAAAUUACGGAGAAUUCUCUCGAGUCCAUCAGUGAGUAGUAGGUGUGUGUCCUAGUCAAAGAUCAUUAUUUAGGCAACAGAUGCAUAUAGCAAAAAUUGGAGAUACCAUAUACCUUCACCCUAAAUAUAUCAUGAAUAUCAUAACCAAAAGAUAAUUUUGUUACGAACAUUAGACUUAAGGGAUAUAUACAGACAUAAUAACAUAGGGCAAACUAUGGUUAAAUUUGCUAACUUGGUGAUUUGGGUUAAAACUAGAGAUUCUCAGAUAUUAGUUAUCAGUUGAUGGAUAAAAAUAAAUAGCAAAUUAAUUUGAAGUUCCUUGGAUUCCUUUUUUGUGAGAAAAUAAUCAAGGGAAGGGGGAGAAACACAGAUAAAGCUGAAAGUCUAAAAAAUGUUGAACAAGAGCCUUCAGGCCACCUUUUAAAGCAAAAAGGGAUGCCAAUGAACUCAACCUUCUUGAACCACAUAAUACACACAUCACGCAGGGAACAUAGUUUGGCCUGCGUUCUUGCAACAGAUCAAAAGUGUUGAUGCUACUAAGAAUAACAGUCCAAACAAAAACCUUUAUCUUACAAGCAACUUUAGCCUUCCAAAACAUAGUAGUGAAAGUCUCAUCCUAAGAACUAAAAAUAUGGAUAAGAUGAAUAAAAAGAGACUUGCAGGUCUAUACACUCAGAGGAAUCUAAUGUUGGAAUUUUGCUAUUGGAAUGCGGAAAACAAUAAAGGGCUCAAGGAUGAGUAAAAAAACGAUGCAUGCCAUCUGACUCUUGGUCAUUUAAAUUCCUAAGGAAAAGAAAUUCCAAGAUAUGUAACCACUAAGAUUAAUUUAGUGAUAAAUAGGAGCAUUACGAUGAGAUGAUACAGAAAGGUGUUUUCCCCGAUGUGCUUAAAUUAGGACAUUUAUUAUGCCCUUCAGCUGUAUGAUGAAAUGGUGAGAAGGGGAUGUGAUCCGGAUAUAGUAACAUAUACUGAAUUAAUCAGAGGCCAUUGUGGGCAAGGUAACACAAAGGAGUUCAGAAGAGCUUCUUGUAGAGAUACAGAAAUCUGGUUUAGUGGUUGAGUUCCAUUUCAGAUACUUAUUACAAAGUACUGCACAAUGAGGGAGCCCCACCUUGCAUUUUACCUAUACCAAAGGUGCGUGAUCGGUGAUAAAUGAGUUUGUGAUUCAGUAACUUCAAAAUUAUUCAUAGGCACUGCAGAACUGCGAAGUUUGUUGCAAGCCAUUAAGUUCUUGUAUAUUGUGAUGGGGUCAGUUUUCUGCCUAUGGUGUCCAUAGACUGUGAUUCUUGUUGGUUAUGUAUCCAGCCCAAACAAAAACAAAAAAAAAGGGGCAAAUUAGUAGUUAAAAAAAAAAAAAGAAAAGAAAAAAAAGAAAAAGAAAAACAAAGAGAGUUAGAGAGUGUAAAAGAUUGAAAAAUAUCCCUGCUAGAGUUUUCGAAGAAAAUGAAUGGUCAAGAUCGAAAAUGAAUAUUGGGUGGUUGUAUCUGUUAGGAUUUUUUUUCUCUCUCGAUUAGUAUAUAAAUGCAUGUCUAUGCACCAUAAAUGAAGGAACAGAAGAAAUAUUUAAAAACUCUUUUAUUACCUUUCUCACUUUUUACCGAGAGAAAUAGAGAAGAGUGUACCGCAAGAGGAAAGGAAGAAGAGAACUUAUAUAUAUAUAUAUAUAUAUAUAUACACAUAUACAUCUACAAGUUGAGUAGCUACCAAGAGAAGAAAAAAAAAAUGAUUUUCAUUCUCUCUACUUUUGUUUGCCUCUUUCUUCUAGUUCUACACACAAAAAAAGGUUGUUUUUUGAAUUUAACUCUUAGUGGAUUAUCUCGUACUUAAUUUUAUUAAUAAUGUAUUUGAUUGAAUAUUGACCCGUGGUUUUUUCCUUUACACUAAAACAUUUUCUACGUAAAUUAUGUAUCGAUUUAAUUUUUCAACUAUUAUCUGCUUAUUAUUUUUACUCCAUUGUGCAUCAAUUUGAGUUAGGGUUAUGCUUAUUAGUUCCUACUAAUUAAUUUGAAAUUAACUUAAUUUACACAGUUAAUUAUAUUCUUGUUCGGAACCCAACAAGUGGUAUCAGAGCCAGGUUGACUAGUUUGUUAAUUGAUUUGUGAUCUGAGAUUAAUUGUAUGAAAUAGAAUGAAAGAAUUUGCUGCUACUAUGAUAAAAUUGUCUUCUUCAAAUUAUUUAAUUUGGAAGUCAAAGAUGGAGGAUUUUCUUUAUUUUAGGGGUUUAUAUGAUCCGAGUAAAUUAAGAACUACUAAGCUAAUGGGAAAAUCACAUGAUGAUUCGGAGAAAAUACAUUGAAAGACUGUAGGAACUAUCUGAAAGUUGGUGAAUAAUAGUGUCUAUCAUUACAUAAAUAAAAAAGUAAUUGCACAGGUUUUAUGAAACAAAUUGAAAAAUAUGUAUGAGAUAAAAAAUGCUCGGAAUAAGACUUUUACUAUUAGAAAGCUUGUUAAUCUGAAGUUGAGAGAUGGACAAUCAUUGCAGAACACUUCAGUAAAUUUCAAUAGUUGGUAAAUGAGUUAAAUACAAUAAAAAUGGCUCUAGAUGAUGAAUUGCAGAAGUUAUUGCUCUUAAGCUCUUUGCUAGACAGUUGAAAAACCUUAGUAGUGUCUCUUAACAAUUCUGCUCCAUAUGGUAUUUUGUCUUUACUUGUGGUAAUAGAUAAUCUGCACAAUAAAGAGACUAAAAGAAAAGAUAUGGGUAUUGAGACUUUACAGGCACUUAUUACAAUAAUAGAGAAUAGGGAUAGAAGUAAAAGUAGAGGUCCUAAGGGGCGCUAUAGAUCCAUAUGUAAAUCAUAGGUGAACAGUAAGUUCACUUGUUAUCAUUGCGGCAAAGAGGGACAUAUAAAAAGAAAUUGUAGGAUUUGGAAAAAUGAACAAAAUCAGAAAAAGAUAGAUAAUCAGAACACUACUGCAACUGUAGCUGAUGAUAAUGAAAAACUGGUUGUACUUUCAUUUGUUGAAGAUUAUAGCCACGUCACUGAUUCUGAUACUGAGUGGAUUGUUGAUUCUGCAGCAUCCUAUCAUGCUACACCUAGAAGAGAUGUCUUCACUAUGUACAAAGUAGGAGAUUUUGGCAUAGUGAAAAUGAGUAAUACCAGCUAUGUAGACAUUAUAGGUAUUGGUGAUAUUUGUGUGUAGAUAGAUAUUGGUUGUGUGUAGACAGAUAUUGGUUGCACGUUGAAUCUAAAGAAUGUGUGGUAUGUACCAGAUUUACAUUUUAAUAUGAUCUCUACAAAUGCUCUUGAUUUAUAUUGUUAUUACAAUCUAUUUGGUGGUAGAAAAUGGAAACUCACUAAAGGUUCAAUUAUAAUUGUUAGAGGCAAAUUGUGUCAUACACUUUACAAGACUCAGAUGAAUAUUAUUAGAGGUGCACUGAAUGCAGCUGUAGAUGAUGUUUCACCAAACUUGUGGCAUAAGAGGCUGGCUCACAUGAGUGAGAAGGGGUUGCAGAUUUUGGCAAAGAAGUUCUUUAUUCCUUUUGCAAAAGGUAUGAGUUUAAACCUUUGUAAUUAUUGUGUGUAUGGUAAACAACAGAGAAUUUCUUUUACUAGCUCAUCUGAAAAGAAAAAGAAUGUUCUUGAAUUAGUUUACUCUGAUGUGUAUGGUCCUAUUGAUGUAGAAACCUCAGGAGGUAGCAGAUAUUUUCUUACUUUUAUUAAUGAUACUUCAUGAAAGAUUUGAGUGUUUGUGUUGAAAACAAAAGACCAGGUUUUUCAGUAUUUUAAGCAAUUUCAUGUCAUGGUGGAAAGAGAGAAAAAAACUCAUUUAAAGUAUUUUCGUAAUGACAAUGGUGGUGAAUACACUUCAAAGAAGUUUGAGAAUUAUUGCCUAUAGCAUAGAAUUAGAUAUGAGAAGACAAUGUCUGGUACUCCUCAGCAUAAUGGUGUAGCUGAAAGAACAAACAUGACUCUCCUUGAAAAGGUCAUAUGCAUGUUGAAAAUGGCUAAUUUACCAAAAUCAUUUUAGGGUGAAGCACUAUACAAUGUUUGCUACUUGAUGAAUCGAUCUCCAUGGUCUGGGAAAGAUGUCAAUUAUUCUCAUUUGAAGGUAUUUGGCUGCAAGACAUUUAUGCAUAUACCUAAGGAGCAGAGAUAAAUGCUUAUGAUAGAACAGUUUCAUGUAUUUUUUUAAGCUAUAGAGAUACAAAGUUUGGAUACAGAUUGUGGGAUCCAGUGAAGAAAAAGGUCGUCAGGUCUGGAGAUGUGAUUUUUGAUGAGCACAAGACCUUAUUAGAUUUUGAGACAACAUAAAAGAUUAUAAGUGAAGAUAUUCAUCUUCCUACACUAGUUUAUCCUUCGAUCAGAGAUGCCACAGACGAGAGAGAGUUACAUGAUGAUCAAAGGUUUGAUAAUAUCUCAGUACCAUAUGAUAUUGAGCAGGGGGAGCAGCCCCUUGCAUCCCAGGUUACAGAAGAACCUUAGCUUAGAAGAUCAACUAGAACAUAUUAUCUUUCUAUCAGAUACUCCAAUUUUGAGUAUAUUAUAGUUACUGAAGAGGGGGAACCAAAAAGCUUUCAAGAAGUUUAGAACCAUCAAGAAAAGUCUUAGUAGUUGAAAGCAAUGGAAGAAGAGACGAGCUCUUUGAAUCAGAAUAAUACCUACGAGUUAGUUGAACUUCCAAAAGGCAGAAAAGCUUUGAAAAACAAGUAGGUAUACAAGCUUAAUAUGGACAGUGAGAAGCUAAUGAAAUAUAAGGUUUGUUUGGUAGUAAAGGAUUUCAAUCAGAAGAAAGGAAUUGACUUUGAUGAGAUAUUUUCUCCUGUUGUGAAGAUGAGCUCAAUUUGGGUAAUUCUUGAUUUAAUUGUCAGUUUAGAUCUUGAGCUUGAAUAACUAGAUGUGAAGACAAUAUUCCUUCGUGGUGAUUUGGAGGAAGAAAUCUACAUGAACCAAACAGAAGGAUUUGAAGUCAAAGGGAAAGAACACAUGGUUUGCAUGUUGAAAAAGAAUUUAUAUGGAUUGAAACAGGCUCCGAGAUAGUGGUACAAGAAAUUUGAUUCUUUUAUGGUCAGUCAUAGUUACACCAGAAUAGAUGCAGAUCAUUGUAUGUGCUUCAGGACAUUCUCAUAUGGUAAGUUUGUCGUUCUGUUAUUUUAUGUUGACGAUAUGUUAAUAGUAGGACAAGAUAUUAUAGAGAUUAAUGGUUUAAAAAAGGAAUUGUUUGGCUUUUUUUAUAUGAAAGAUUUGGAACCAGCACAAUAGAUUUUGGGUAUACAGAUUACUCGUGACAAGAAAGUUAAAAAAUUAUGGUCGUCGCAAGAAAGGUAUGUUGAGCAGGUUCUAAACAGAUUUUAUAUGAAGAAUGCUAAGCCAAUUAGCACACCACUUAUUAAUCACUUUACACUUAGCAAGAAAUUAUGUCCUGUUACUCAAUAAGAAAAAGAAGAAAUGUCAGUUGUUACUGUAGCACUCGGAAAGGAGGAGAAAAAAAAAAAAAAAAGCCACGUCAGCAGUCCCGGCCAACCAGGGCCUGCCACGUGGCAAGACCACGUCACUUCGAAAGGUAGCCACGUUGGCGAUCCGCGUGGGUGAAAUCCGACGGCCCAGAUCAAUCGCGCGAUCGGACGGCCCAGAUACAAUCGCACGGACGGCCCAGAUUCAAUCAAAAACGAACGGCCCAGAUUAAAACAAAAUGGACGGCUGAGAUCAAAAGGCAAGGGGUUAUAAAUAGAACCUCCACACCAGACCACAAACCCUAGCCGCCUGCCGCUCGCCGGAGAAGACGAACCAGAGGCCGACCGCCGCCACCCGCCGCCGCACCGGGGAAAUUUCCGACCGCCGAUCGAGGUAAAUUUCAUACCCCCGACUCGUUUUUCCACGCUGAUUCCUCCUAUGGCCAAAUCGAAGCCAAAAUCUCGGCCAAACGGCCGGAAUACGCGGCCGAAGACCAGCGGUGCCGCCGCGCCCCCUAUCGGUUUUUGCCUCCGACGAGGCCCUUCCCGGCCUCCAUUGGAUGCAAUUUUUAUAUCACCGUGAUCACCAUUCUUUUCUCUACAGGUUGACCGGAGCCGAAUCACCAAAACACGAACCUCGCCGGAGAGCCGCCGCACCCGAGAGCGCCGCCGCUGGUAAGCUCCGUUUUUCCGUGAUUUUUUGGCCCCCCGAGGGCCCUAGGGUUGUUUUCUCACAAGGACCGAUGCGAGUGUGGCCGAAUUCGGCCGAAAACGGCCGAAAACAGCCAACCCGAGGCGACUCGCCGCCGCGCCGGAGCACGGCGGAACCGCCGUGCCGGAGUUGCGAUUUGGGCCGAAAGAGGCCCUGGGCCUAAUUUGGGUUUUUUUUGGAACACGUGCAGGUACUGUUAGUGUGUUUCAGUUCCCCGGAAAAAAUUCAGAGAAAAUUAGGGACGGCCUGCAGGCGCACUGUGAAUCGUAUUCGGAUCCCGAAAACAAGUAAGGACCCCUCACCCUAUUUCCUAUCACGGUAUUAAAGUUCAAAAUGAUAAAACGGUAUUUCUUGAAUUAACGAAUGUGUGAAAUUGUUUAAGGUGGCUAAUGGAGCCCGAGUCUAGUGUGAUUGGUGAUUUACUGUUAUUUGGCCUGUUUACAGCUUUAAAUGCAAAAUGAGGUUUGAUGUGUUUAUUUUACAGAUUUGUGUGCAUAUACUACGUUUUUAUUAAUCAUGGGUUGAAUGACUGAAAAACUGAUGUUGUAUGUUGUCUGUUUGGCAUGAAUUACGAUUUGCUUGUUUAAAUGUGAAUUGAUGAUGCUGACUGAGGAAAAGGAAAAUGAAAGAUUGUGUAGACUGAUAAUUGUAUUAUGGGGGUCAGCCUGACUAGAUAUCCUGGGAGAUGGUGGACGGACCGGGUCCGUAGGGAACCCUACCGGGAUUGUGGUCUCACAUGCCGGACGGGGUAUGGAGAUCUUAUGGUUUUGGCGCCCAUACCGGACGGGGUAUUGAGGUUUAUGGUUUUGGCGCCCAUACCGGACGGGGUAUGGGGACGGCCCGUUUCACCCUCAUACCGGACGGGGUAUGGGGACGGCCCGUUUCACCCUCAUACCGGACGGGGUAUUGAGGUUCAUGGUUUUGGCGCCCAUACCGGACGGGGUAUGGGGACGGCCCUGGAAACUGAUUAUGAAUGUUAAAGGUUAACGGGUAGCGGAACCCCUAUGGACCCCCACGGAUACUAGUAGGCUGGUAAAUGAGAAAAAGAUAUGUUGUACAAUGAUUGAAUUACAAGAGGCGUGAUAAGUGUUAUGUUUUACAGCUUAUAUUAUUCCAUGAUUAUGAUAAUGUUAUUGUUUUCUUAUAUUGUUUUCAUAAAUUCCACCGAGGUAAGUGGAUGGAAAAGGUUUUUAUGUUAAUAAGCGAGUUUGUUGUAAAUUAUGCUCCAUUGGUCUUUUUGUGUUUUCUACCCACCUUUACCUCCGUGACGGAGAGAUAUCGUGAUGUUUUUACUGGGUCAGUGUAGCUCACUCCUUACUUAACCAUUUCAGAUCAGGAAGAAAUGGUUCCCGAGCCCGUUCUGCAGGAGGACGACGAAGGGGAUACCUAGAGACUCUGUAGUCAUACUCAUAGUUUUAUUUUCGAGUUUCUCUCUUAGUUAGUUUAAUCUUUUAUAUUUUAAGUACGUUUUUGGUUUUUCGUGUAAGGGAUGUUAACUGAAAUUUUGAUCUCGCUUCCGCAAUUGAUAUAUUUAAAUACUCAUUUCAUUUUAAUAUUUCCGGGGCCGUUACAGUUACUUACUCUUCUGCAGUUGGGAGUUUGAUGUAUGCUAUGGUUUGCACUCGACCAAGUAUUGUUCAUGAUGUUGGUUUGACAAGCCGAUUUAUUUUUAAUCCUAGUAAGAGUUAUUGGAAAACAGUAAAAUAGAUUUUUAGAUAUCUGAAAUGUACUCCUAAGAUGUAUUUAUGUUUUGAAUGUUCAGAACCAAUUUUAGAGGGAUAUGCAAAUGCAGAUAUGGCAGGUGACCUUGAUAGCAGGAAGUCUACUUCAGGGUAUGUGUUUACUUUUGCAAGGAGAAUUGUAUCAUGGUAGUCUAAACUGUAAAAAUGUGUUAUCUUAUCUACAACUGAGGCAAAGUAUAUAGUUUUAACUGAAACAGGUAAAGAAAUGUUUUAGAUGAAAAGAUUUCUCGAAGAGUUGAGUUUGAAACAAGAUGAAUAUGUGAUGAAUAAUGAUAGUCAAAGUGCUCUAUAUUUGAGUAAUAAUGUCACAUAUCAUUGUCGUACGAAGGAUAUUGACGUGAGAUACUAUUGGAUACGAAAUGUAAUGAAUAAUAAAGAUAUGUUAUUGAAAAAUAUUUACACUGAUAAAAAUCGACAUGUUGACCAAGAUAGUGAAUUGUAACAAGUAUCCGUCUUGCACCAAUAAUGUGGGAUUGAUUGAAUAUUGAGCAAUGUAUGGUAUACAUCUCUUCAUAAGCUGGAGGAAGAGCUUGUUGGUUAUGUAUCCAGCCUAAACAAAAAAAUGGUAAAUCAGUAAUUCAAAAAAAAAAGAAAAGAAAAAAAGAAAAAGAAAAAAAAAAGAAUUAGGGUUGAAAUUUUCUUUUGGAUAUAAAUAUAUAUAUGUGUGCUGCAGGAAAAAAAAAAAAAAAAAAAAAGAGAGUUAGAGAGAAAGAGAGAAGAAUGUGCGGCAAGAGGAAAUGAAGAAGAUAACUUAUAUAUAUAUACACACACAUAUAUAUAAGUUGAGUGGCUACUAAGAGAAGAAAGAAAAAGUGAUUUUCAUUCUCUCUCCUUGAUGAUAUUAUCGCAGACAUCAGCAAUUUCUUCAUUUUCUAAUGGAAGUUUAAACUUGAUUCUGUUUCCCUCUUUUUUCUAGUUCUGCACCCAAAAAAUGUUGUUCUUUCUGUUUUGGAUUUAAUUUUUAAUGGAUUAUCUUAUAUUUAAUUUUAUUAAUAGUAUAUUUGAUUCUAAACUUAAUCUGUGAUUUUUUUCUUUACACUGAAGAAUUUUUUAAUAAAUUCUAAAUUUAUUUAAUUUUUCAACACGUAUUUAUUUAUUAUCUUUUUUCUAGUAUGCAUUAAUUUAACUUAAGAUUAUAGUUAUUAAUUUCUGCUAAUUAAUUUGGGAUUGAUUUAAUUUAUACAAUUAAUUAUACUCGACCAACAAUUCUUUCAUGAGGUAUAUGUAUUUCUUAUUGCGUUGUGUAAGAUUACUGAUGACAGUUUUUGUAUUUGUUGAUGACAUGUAAAGUUUGUUAUUUUUGUUUUUCAUUUAUUUGUGAUGUUGCCCUUUGGCUGUAGGUGUUUAGCAGUCUGUAUAUAUGUGCUAGUGGUAAAACCCAUUUGCUUAGUGUGAGAAAAAAUAUAUAACAAAAAUUUUUGUCUUCUUCUCCCAUAUUUUCUUCUCUGCUCUGUUCUGCUCUGUUAUGAUUUCAUCUUCUUCUUCUUCUCCCAUAUUUUGUUGGGUUCUGCUUUGUUUUGCAUUUCUUUUUAACACUUUGUUAUACUUUCCCUUCUGUUGACUCUUUCUCUGAAACAAUUGUCACUCCUGUAUUCCACAGGAAAAUGGUGUUCUAACUGUUAUACAUUUUUUUGUAUGUAGUUUUACUAGUUUUAGUUGAUUAUACUCUAGUUAAUGAGGUUUAUUGUUAUAAAUGAAGGCGAAGAAAGCUUUGGUGAUCAUGGGAUUUACAUCCCAUGCUUAUAUGGUAGAUCUCUGUUUCAGGUUGUUCAAUGAUUGAUUGAACAACUGGUUCCAAGAUGGAGGAAUAUUUAGAUGUUUUUAUAUUUAUUAGAAGUGUCUUGAAGGAUUUUUCUUUCAGAAUGUUGUUUAAGAUCUGAUUUACUAUGUUUUGUGAUAAUGGAAAUUUUUUGGUUCAGCAUAUAGCUGCUUGGAUUGUUGUUGAGCCCUGAGGCCCUGAACUUAAGGUCCUAGAGGUUUCUCAAGAACCCUUCAUCUUAGCCAUCUUCAGUUAUUGGUGAGGACAGUGUCAGAAUGCUCUGAAUGGUGGCUGAAGGCCUUGGGCAGUUGAAGAUGCCUGACUACACCCUUAGAGAGGGACAAUUAAACAUGCCUCUUAAAAUAAUUCCCUUGUGCUGUGGCAAUAAAGUAAGAAUUCACAGCACUUGUUACUUGUUUGUCGAUUUGGAAACUCGUAAGAUUUGGAAAAUAGUAAAAAGCUUCUCCAUUUUCCUGGUGAAAUUUGCUAAAUUUUAUGGUUCUACAGGUUUAAUUAGGGUGGGUCAUGAAACAAAAAAGCCAUGGUUGAAGAACAUGAGCUAAUCAAUUAGAUUGACAAAAACAGCUUAUGAUGUUCACCAGAGUAUCCAAAGACUGCGGAAUGGCAAGCUGGUGUCAACCAUAAUCAUUGGUUGCCCAUCAGUCUAGAAAACCAAAUUGCAAUAAUAUUGUUGACGUUACAAGGGUGAUCCGUUUCCGAUUUGAAUUAACAGGAUGGGAAGUGUUUCUCCUUUCCAUUAUGAUUGAUUGCAACGAUGCUUGUUCAUCUCUUGGGAAUGCAUUUUGGGAAGUACUAACUUGUGAGCAAAUAUUCGGCGAAAAGAACCAGAAUUUUUUCCACUUUGAGCAAAGAAAGGAGUAGGAAAGUUGUAGUGAGCUAUUUGUUGAUUCCUCGUUCAGUUUCUCAAAAUGAUGUAGAAGAUGGAUGAGUGAAAUUACUUCAAGAAACAACUUAAUUACGCAGGAAAUUUACUUGUAGACUUUGUAACUCGGAAUCGAAGGAUUCUAUUUGCUUAAAUAAGAUUAUCAUUCAUUUGCUGUUAGCAGAGAAAAGAGCUUUAAAUUGCAUAACAAUUGUUAUCAGAUAGUUAAUAUACUUGGAGCAAGUGAAUUAUUCUUGAGAAUACAUUCUGAGAUCUAAAUUUGGUCCAAAUAUGAAAAUUAUACAUUCUUGCUUUAAAGAAAUCAGAGCAAAAAUGAAGUAAAUUGACCAAAACUGAAGAAUUUUUAAAUAAAUCAUAUAAAAAUAUAAAUAAUUCAUAUUAGAGAUAACAAAAUUCAUCACAUCUGAACAAUACAGAGGUGAGGGAAAAAAAAAUAUAUGCCUUGGAGAACUAUCAAGUAUGAAAUAUCAAGCUGUAGUACAUUAUACCUUUAGAAAAAUUUAUUCCAUAAAUGUCUUAAUAAAACUGACUCUGCAAUUACAGGCAUGGAUUUCAAUAAACAGAACUAAUGGAAAACCAAUUACGAUAAAACAUAAUGCAAUGGUAAAAUUUUAAGCUUGAAAAAAUUGGAGAACUGAAAAAUAAAUAGAGAAGAAGAUGGUGAAAAAGAUUACUUCAUAGGGUGUAUAAUAUGCCAAAUAGGAAUGUGCCUACCCACCGGACAAAUACUCUGUGACUUAAAGCUACUUGUAAAUACAGGUUGAAGAUAAAGAAUAUAUAAUCACACCAAAGAUUAGUAACCAAUAUCUAGUCCAGGUAUGUGAGCAAUCUUUUGCCAAUCUUUACCCUCCUCUCUUUGGCACCGUUUUUCUAAAAUAGGGCAAGACUGUAUUUUUAAAUAUGUAAGAGAGGUUGGUAGCCCCUCUUCAGGCAACCGUUGAAUCUCAG